CCCAAACACAAUAAGCGUUUUAAUUUUUCCACUCUCCUCAACGGUCGCUUCUUCUCCUCCUUUCCUUUUCUUUACAAAAAUUUCAAUGUUGCUCAGCCAUGGCAGACUUGCCAUUACCAUUUUAGAACAAGAAGCUCUGCACCUCAUUUAAUUCUUCUGCAAGAUCAACGUUCAAAUUUCAAACGGUUCAAUAGCUUUGACUCCAUUUCAAAAUCAAAAUCUGAAGAAUUCCCGCUCAAGAAGCCCUAUCUCAAAUCUGCCGCUAUAAAUACCCGUGUUUGGCAAUAAUUUUGGGACAACUCGGAGCCGCCGCUCUUCCCCUCUAUAAAUCAUCCUUUGCCUAUUAACUGAUAUUCAUCUCAGAAGUCAGAAAAGCUUCAUUCUUUUGACUCCCCUGCUGUUUCUGUUGGGUAUUUAACCUUGCAUAAAAUCGAUUAUCUUUAUUUAUUUUAGUCGAAUCUGCUUUUGUCCGAGGCGAAGGAGCGGGCUUGAAAUCGGAAUCUAAGAUCCGUGCCUCGGUUCGCUGCUCCGCAAUAGGCGGAGUCUUAAUGCAAGACUCUCCCAUACCCGAGCAUGGAGUAAUCACAUCCCACACUCCUAUAGAUACACCGGAUAGCAAGAAAAAAAAAGUGAAACGCUUGGGGCGCCUAUGGCGUCUUUCUUAUCUUUUUAUUGCAUUCAUUUUAUAUAACUUCUUUAUGACCGCUGUUUUAUUUGUACUUGUGCUUUUCUAAUGUUUAGCAUAUGUUUUGGUAAUUAAGUUUAUUUAAUUAUUUCUGCCAAAUAGAAUACUCAUUUAUCACAUAGGAUUAACAUUAACUUAUAUGAAGACUUGAAACCUUCUCUUUAUUUCUACUUUCUAACUCGUGAACACUCAAGGAUUUGGAUUCUGCCAGGGUCUUGGUAAGUCUUUUGAUAUGAAUAACGUAUCCAGAUUUGAGUUUUAAACCAAAAUAAGUUCUUUUCAAACAUCUAAGUUCUUUUGGCUUUGGUGUAUUAAACCAAGAAUUUUUUUAAGACUAACCAAUUAACAACCUAAGUUUGAUCGGUUAACCGUUAUUAACGGAUCAUAUAACCUGUACUCAUAAUCUUUAGGUUAAGACCAUAAAAGCGGAGUUAACUUUUUAAUAAAAUAAGGUUUCCUAAUUCACCCUUAAUCAAUUAGGUGGCGAAUCUUUUAAUCAAUUAAACCUCUAGAACUACCAAUAGGUUAUGUUCUAAUUUGACCCGUGUUAAAAUGGGGUAUAACAAUGCUUAUAUGUUGUACGAGUAUGUGACUUCGGGAAAUAUGUUGGAGAUUUAUGUGUAGGUUAAUCUCCAUUUCAAACAUGAUAAUUUCUAUUUGUGGCAUAUCCGUCUAAUCUGAGCCGUAGUUGUACACUUCAAACAUGCAUACACUUGUAUUUCACUUUCGGUAUUCUAGACUGGUUUGACAACAAGUGAGUUGUCCGUGCGGGUUGAGUUGGUUGUGGCAUGUGAGUUGUCCGUACGAUUUUUAUAGCACCUACAUUGUCCGUGCAGCAUGUGGAUAAGGAUUCAUCCCCCUAGGUGAUCGUCCUCUCAUGUUUCUCCUUUAUUACACACGGUUGUGAAAAACUAAUCAGUGUUGGAUAGGUAUCUCUCCUCUAUAUGCAAAUUUCUUGGGUGUAUACAUGAUUUUACUGCAUAUCUCCUCUAUAUGCUGGCUUCGUACCUAUGUACUGGCCUUUUUAUGCAUAUCUUCUCUAUAUGCUAAACGGUUAUCUUGUUUAAUUUUCAUUCAUAUCUUCUCUAUGUGCACCAUGAGCUUUACUAGAAGUUAUGCAUAGAUUUUGGUAUUGUUACUGCGUUUUUGUAUGUUUCAUGACUUGUAUAGAUUUCAUCAAGUGAGUAUCAUUGGUGAUUCUUGCGACUACCUCUCUAAGGUUAGUCAUGAUACUUACAGAUUACAUGGGGUCAAUUGUACUCACACUAAACUCUGCACUUAAUUUUGCAGAUCCAAGUGUGGGCCCUAGCUGAGAGCUUAGAUCAUUGUUUAGUUGCUGAGAGACGAGGUAACUGCAUCCUGUUUGCAAACCUUGGCGUCUCUUUUCAAUUCAAUUACUGUUAUUAUCAGACUAGUACUCCUAUUGUAGAGCUCAUGACUCUAUACUACCAGUUAUGGGAGAUUUAUUGUAUUGGCGUAGUCUUUAUUUAUGAUAUUUUUGCUUCUAGACUUGUAUUAUUUUGUAAUUCGCUAUCUUGAUUUGUUAUUUUUAUGCUUGGCUGACCUAGCAAGAGAGUUAGGCGCCAUCACGACCGGAUGGUAGUGUUGGGUCGUGACAGUUAUAGUGUGGAAUGGGAUGAUAUUCACGUAGUAAGUCGUUUCGAGUUCUACCUUCCCAUUUCAUGAUUGAGACUUUACAUAGCGUUAAUUAUUUAUUACUUGCGUGCGUGGUUCGUUUUGUUUUCCGAAAAGUUUAAAUGUGAUUUUUCAAAGAAAGCCUGAUUUUUGAACUUGAAAAUGGUUGGAGUUGGCCACAGUCAACAUUAUUGAUAAACGACCUCAGAUCGGUGUUUUGAUAAUUUUGGUAGGUUUGUAUGAUGAUUUUGGACUUGUACGCACGUUUGGUUGAGUCACAAGUGACCCGAAGUUGUUUCAGCACCAAUUUUAAAACGUUGAGAAUUUGAACUUAAGAACUUUGAAAUCUUUGAGUUUUGAUGCUUAUUUCUUGAUUUCAAAUGUUAUUUUAGCAUUUUGAGCUUGCAAGAGAGUUUGUAUAAUGUUAUUAUACUUGUGUGGGUGUUUGGAGUGGGCCCGGUGGGCUCGGGUGAGUUUCAGAUCAUUUUUUGGCAUUGUUGAGUUAACUGAUUUUCUGGUGUUUCAUAGUGCUUCGUGAUCGCAAAGUAUGUCUCGCGAUCGUAAAGGGAGAAAUUAGGGCAGGGGUGAUUUACACUACGCAAACAUGAGGGGAAGCUCGCGAACGCGAGGUCCUGGGCGAAUUGGCCGCAAACGCGGCAAACCUCACGCGAACGCGCAUGCAUGGGAGAUCUUGGGGACUGUCAAUUGGUUCUUCAUCGCGAACGCGACCAGUGGAUCGCCAACGCGAAGGCUUGGGAGGGGAGAUUCCUUGGCGAAUGCGAGGAGCCAUCACAAACGCGAAGAACACCCGAAGCCCAGAUUCUAGUUGUUUGGAGGCUUGUGCUAAAGGAGAAGCAGUAUUGGAUUGUUGAUUUGGUUCCAGAAAGAGGUAAAGUAUCGUAGUUAACCUUAAUUUUUAAGAAAUUAGGUGUAUCAUGCAUAUGCAAGGUGACGAGUGCAUAUGUGAAUAAAGCAUACGGGUGGAACUAGUUUAUUUUAUGUCUCAUAUAUUACAUGUUCGUACAUGUUCUAUACCUUAAUCUACUACAUAUUUUACUUGUUCCAUGCCCUUAUUUGUUCUUACUUGACACAUGAUUUACAUGCUGUGCCUUUACAUGACACAUGUUCUUACUUGCUAGCCUUUAUAUGAUUCAUGUCUUCUGUUGAAUACGUGAUUUCGCUUGUCAUAUGCUUUUACUUGUUCAUGCCUAUAAAAUGACUUUACUAGACUUGUUCCAAACCAUAAUUGUUUCAUGCCUUACUUUCCUACGUUAUGUUUGGGAUUGUACGAUCAUUUAAUCGUUUGUAUGCUAAAUACCUUAUUUGGAUCCUUACUGUGCUACAUGAGUAUGAUUAGCUCUAGAAAUUUGGGAUUUGCCAUUUCUCAUCCUUUCCAUAGUAAAUUGUGCUUAUUUAUUCUUCUUGUUAAUUAUUAUGAAAUUUGCAAUAUAUGCAUGUGUUGUUGGAUGAUUCUAUGUGAGUCGCUAUGUUGGAUCGGGUUGCCACUGCAACAAUAUUAUGAUAAUGAUCGGGUUGCUCGCCGCAACAAUAUGGCCAUGGGAUUAGGUUGCCGCCGCAACAAUGUUUGUGUGUGUGUUGGCUCGGAUGUGCGCCACAAUGUAUGUGUUAUGAGAUGUUAGUGUUGUUUGUGAUAUAGCCUUCCUUGUUGCUUUUGGUUGUGCUUAUUACGUGUAUUGUUUCUUCGCCGUUUAUUUGAGCUUCCGAGAAGGAUUUUUGUUGCUCUAUUCAAGAAAUGUGGUUAUCACUUUUGUAAUAUGAUUCUUUUUACUAUUUCCUACUUUUAUUCUUGUUAUUAUUAUUAUUACCUCUAUUGCUAUUUCUAUUGCUAAUUAAUUAUUACCUCUAUUGCUAUUUCUUAGCCCCGUCACUAGCUUGUCGAGAUUAGGCUCAAUACUUACAAAGUACAAGGUUAGUUGUAAUCAUACUACAUGCAUGCACUUCUUGUGAAGAUUCUGGUAUGGGUCCUAGAAGUAUCCAGUGAAGAUUCUGGUAUGGGUCCUAGAAGUACAUGAGGUAGUGUUGCUUUUCGUCCGCAGACUUCGGAGUCACAUUUGCUCUUGUUAUUGGUAUUUUCUUGUAUCAAACAGUAUUACAUUUUAUUUCAGACAUUAUAUGUAGUAUUCUUAUUAGCUCAUGUACUCCGUAAAACCAAACAUCGUUUGGUGUUAGAUUUAUUUAUAUAUAUUUCUGAGUA
Nicotiana tabacum (common tobacco) is the source of this 4535-nucleotide non-coding RNA. NCBI's taxonomy places the organism in Eukaryota, Viridiplantae, Streptophyta, Magnoliopsida, Solanales, Solanaceae. The record is from RefSeq and is a predicted model, not a curated record.